RNAcentral lists this ribosomal RNA (468 nucleotides) under uncultured bacterium. RNAcentral's name for it is "partial 16S ribosomal RNA". It matches the Rfam family "Bacterial small subunit ribosomal RNA", at positions 28 to 507 of the family's 1533-position model. The record is from RNAcentral.
GACGAACGCUGGCGGCGUGCUUAACACAUGCAAGUCGAACGGAAAGGCCCUGCUUUUGUGGGGUGCUGGAGUGGCGAACGGGUGAGUAACACGUGAGUAACCUGCCCUUGACUUUGGGAUAACUUCAGGAAACUGGGGCUAAUACCGGAUAGGAGCUCCUGCUGCAUGGUGGGGGUUGGAAAGUUUCGGCGGUUGGGGAUGGACUCGCGGCUUAUCAGCUUGUUGGUGGGGUAGUGGCUUACCAAGGCUUUGACGGGUAGCCGGCCUGAGAGGGUGACCGGCCACAUUGGGACUGAGAUACGGCCCAGACUCCUACGGGAGGCAGCAGUGGGGAAUAUUGCACAAUGGGCGGAAGCCUGAUGCAGCAACGCCGCGUGCGGGAUGACGGCCUUCGGGUUGUAAACCGCUUUCGCCUGUGACGAAGCGUGAGUGACGAUAAUGGGUAAAGAAGCACCGGCUAACUACGUG